GGUGCUGUGGCUUAGCUGGUCAUAGUGCCUGUCUAGUAAACAGGACUUUCUGGGUUAAAAUCCCAGCAGUGCCU
This 74-nucleotide transfer RNA is filed under the name Danio rerio (zebrafish). It matches the Rfam family "tRNA". From Rfam's summary of the family: Transfer RNA (tRNA) molecules are approximately 80 nucleotides in length. Their secondary structure includes four short double-helical elements and three loops (D, anti-codon, and T loops). Further hydrogen bonds mediate the characteristic L-shaped molecular structure. tRNAs have two regions of fundamental functional importance: the anti-codon, which is responsible for specific mRNA codon recognition, and the 3' end, to which the tRNAs corresponding amino acid is attached (by aminoacyl-tRNA synthetases). tRNAs cope with the degeneracy of the genetic code in two manners: having more than one tRNA (with a specific anti-codon) for a particular amino acid; and 'wobble' base-pairing, i.e. permitting non-standard base-pairing at the 3rd anti-codon position. Lineage: Eukaryota; Metazoa; Chordata; Actinopteri; Cypriniformes; Danionidae. The record is from Rfam by way of RNAcentral.